CCCAGGUGGAGUGGUAAAUGAUGGUGGCUCGUCCCCUCUUUGAGUUUUCUGUAAAAUGCCUUUGGCUGAAUUGCCCCCCCCCCCACUCCUCUUCCCCAGUCAGGUUCAUGGACUGCAGGUUAGCUCUAACUCACUGUGGGCCCAAAGACGACCUUGGCCUUCUGAUGUUUCUGCCUCUACUUCUGGAGUGCUGGGAUCUAAGGAUUCUCUAUGUAACAGCCCUGGGUACUGAGGAUGGAACCCAAGACCUUGCACACUCUAGCUGAGUGUUCACCUCCGAGCAGCACCCUUUGCACACUCUAGCUGGGUGUUCAUCUCCGAGUGGCACCCCAGCCCUCGAUGAAUGUCUGUCCCAUAGAUUUUCCUCUUGAAUUGUUGGGAAGUUUCCAAAUAUUGGUCACAAGGUGUUGGGGACAUGCCCUCCUGAGGAGCAGCUUUAUAGCCCUAACAGGAUGACAGUGGGACCAAACUCAAGGGGACUCCAGUUUGGUUCUACAUGCACACACCAACGAUGGGCAGCACAAAACUUCCUGUAAUCCAGUG
RNAcentral lists this long non-coding RNA (543 nucleotides) under Cricetulus griseus (Chinese hamster). RNAcentral describes it as "lncRNA (ENSCGRG00015042471.1)". The record is from RNAcentral. Lineage: Eukaryota; Metazoa; Chordata; Mammalia; Rodentia; Cricetidae.